This 403-nucleotide ribosomal RNA is filed under the name Fusobacteriota bacterium. Its description in RNAcentral is "Fusobacteria bacterium partial 16S ribosomal RNA". It matches the Rfam family "Bacterial small subunit ribosomal RNA", at positions 355 to 776 of the family's 1533-position model. Lineage: Bacteria; Fusobacteriati; Fusobacteriota. The record is from RNAcentral.
UGGGGAAUUUUGCACAAUGGGGGAAACCCUGAUGCAGCGACGCCGCGUGUACGAUGAAGAUCUUCGGAUUGUAAAGUACUGUCCUUGGUGAAGAUAAUGACUGUAACCAAGAAGCAAGCCCUGGCUAAAUACGUGCCAGCAGCCGCGGUAAUUCGUAUGGGGCAAGCGUUGUCCGGAAUUAUUGGGCGUAAAGGGUACGUAGGCGGUUAUUUAAGUCUAAAUUAAAAGGCAUUGGCUCAACCAAUGUAAGGUUUAGAUACUGGAUAACUUGAGUAGAUGAGGGGAAAGUGGAAUUCCAUGUGUAGCGGUGAAAUGCGUAGAUAUAUGGAGGAACACCAAUGGCGAAGGCAACUUUCUGGAAUCAAACUGACGCUGAGGUACGAAGGCGUGGGGAGCAAACAGG